AGUGAACGCUGGCGGUAGGCCUAACACAUGCAAGUCGAACGGAAGCACAGUAAGAGCUUGCUCUUAAGGGUGGCGAGUGGCGGACGGGUGAGGAAUACAUCGGAAUCUACUUUUACGUGGGGGAUAACGUAGGGAAACUUACGCUAAUACCGCAUACGACCUACGGGUGAAAGCAGGGGAUAUUCGGGCCUUGCGCGAUAGAAUGAGCCGAUGUCGGAUUAGCUAGUUGGCGGGGUAAAGGCACACCAAGGCGACGAUCCGUAGCUGGUCUGAGAGGAUGAUCAGCCACACUGGAACUGAGACACGGUCCAGACUCCUACGGGAGGCAGCAGUAGGGAAUAUUGCACAAUGGGCGAAAGCCUGAUCCAGCCAUACCGCGUGAGUGAAGAAGGCCUUCGGGUUGUAAAGCCCUUUUGUUGGGAAAGAAAAACUGCGUGUUAAUCCCCCGCUGUUCUGACGGUACCCAAAGAGUAAGCCCCGGCUAACUUCGUG
This 492-nucleotide ribosomal RNA is filed under the name uncultured bacterium. RNAcentral describes it as "partial 16S ribosomal RNA". It matches the Rfam family "Bacterial small subunit ribosomal RNA", at positions 29 to 507 of the family's 1533-position model. The record is from RNAcentral.